RNAcentral lists this ribosomal RNA (505 nucleotides) under uncultured bacterium. RNAcentral describes it as "partial 16S ribosomal RNA". It matches the Rfam family "Bacterial small subunit ribosomal RNA", at positions 28 to 507 of the family's 1533-position model. The record is from RNAcentral.
GACGAACGCUGGCGGCGUGCCUAAUACAUGCAAGUAGAACGCACAGUUUAUACCGUAGCUUGCUCCACCAUAGACUGUGAGUUGCGAACGGGUGAGUAACGCGUAGGUAACCUGCCUGGUAGCGGGGGAUAACUAUUGGAAACGAUAGCUAAUACCGCAUAAUAUUAAUUAUUGCAUGAUAAUUAAUUGAAAGGUGCAAUUGCACCACUACCAGAUGGACCUGCGUUGUAUUAGCUAGUAGGUGAGGUAACGGCUCACCUAGGCGACGAUACAUAGCCGACCUGCGAGGGUGAUCGGCCACACUGGGACUGAGACACGGCCCAGCCUCCUACGGGAGGCAGCAGUAGGGAAUCUUCGGCAAUGGACGAAAGUCUGACCGAGCAACGCCGCGUGAGUGAAGAAGGUUUUCGGAUCGUAAAGCUCUGUUGUAAGAGAAGAACGGGUGUGAGAGUGGAAAGUUCACACUGUGACGGUAUCUUACCAGAAAGGGACGGCUAACUACGUG